This is a long non-coding RNA of Thunnus maccoyii (southern bluefin tuna), 1263 nucleotides long. RefSeq lists it as uncharacterized. The record is from RefSeq and is a predicted model, not a curated record. Lineage: Eukaryota; Metazoa; Chordata; Actinopteri; Scombriformes; Scombridae. The transcript has 3 exons.
CAAGCCAACAUGCUUUUCUGACAAUUCUGACCCACAAACCUGUGCACUGUGGAAGAUACGUCACAUUGGCUGAGGCGCCAAGAGAGCACAGACCAAUGACAGCAUGUUGACAGUGCAAUGACAGAAACCGGCACAUUCAAAUGGAGUUUGUGGUGGAUAAUGGGCUGAGGGGCAAAGCGCAACCAGCCUGGAUAAAAAAGAAGUGGGAGAACCUUAAGCAGAAAUACAAGGAUCUGAAGUGUCCUGGAUCAAGGGUCAGCAUAGAGGGAGGGGAGGCAACAGCAGCCUCCUGGAAAUGGUAAGGGGUGAUGGAUGCAGCAUUGGGCAGCAAGCCAUCCAUCACCCCACCAGUGCUUAUCUCUUCAGCAAGCCAGGAGACAGUUGUAGUCUUAACUGUUGAGACCUGUUGAUGAUUGCCUGUUGCUGAUCCAGUCAUUCAGGAUGGCUGUACUUCAUUAAGAAAGAGAGGGAGGAAGGAGGGCCAGGUAGUAAACUAUCUAAAACAGAUGGAGAAUAGAGAGGAAAGGGGAGAAGCUGAACAGCAGGCAAAAGGGGAGUAAAGACAUGAGGAGGCCAGGAGGAGAGAGGAGGAGGCGGGUGGGACAAGGGAGGAGUGAAGAGAGGAGAGGCAGCAGGAAAGGUUUUUGGCAUUUCUGGAUGCAACUAGUUAAAAAAUAAAGUUUUGUUUUUUUAUUUAACAAUUAAUUUAUUUGUGUUUGCUUCAACUGUCUCACUGACAUUGUCUUCCAUUGUCUCAAGUGAUGGUUGCAGAUUGCCUGAAGCUGGAUGGAUGUAAAUAGCUUCUUACUAAAAUAAGAGCUAGCAUCCCCUACAGGGGGCUUAAUCCGGAUGUGGCAGCCGUCAAUGGCACUGACUGCCACGCAAAAUGCUGGAGAGCCUGCUAACUGGGCAAAGCCAGUACCCACUUCCUUGAUCCUGUCUGGUUGACGAAACCGGACAAUCCUCUUCAGGAGCCCAACUACUUCCAAGCUGAUCUUAUGUAUUAUCCUGUGGACCAAAGUCUUGGGGAUGUCAAAGGCCCUUGAGACUUGUCUGUAAGAAGCUGCAUGGGCAAGCCAGUAUAGGAAUAGAAGGACUUGACUUUUCCCAUCCAUAAUCAGCUUCAUUGUAAGAGCACCUGUAAGUGCUGUUAUGGACUCUCUUGUCAGGCGAAGGUCAGGGCAGAGGUUGGACACACCAUAGAGCUGCAGGAUGGGCAUGUUCAGGUUCAAAUGGCAGAAUGAUGUGGGGUGGACAAGAAAU